CGGCGGAGGAGGAGGCCGGGGCCGGGGCGCCGGGGCCGCGCUGCUCGGGCGCCAGCACCGUAUCAGGUCACAUUCUGAGCAUCCGAGUGGACGUGAACUCUGGCGGACGCUGUUCAACUCCCACCUGGGUGUAGAGCGUGGUGUAGAGAACUUGAUGGCAGGAGGGGAGCCUGACGGGGGGAGCGGAGAAAGAGGACGGUCAGGAUCGAAAGCACAAGGAGAGGACCGGGCUUGACCAAAGACGACAUUCCACUGGCAGGGUCAGCUGCAGACGAGAGCAGAAAGGUGAAGGAAGACACGACGAGGGUUAGAAGGCAGGUUGGGGGAUCCUUCAGCCGGUCGGUGAGCUGUCUGCUGAGACAUCAUGCGGGGAUACCCUUGGGCUGGACGGGUUAACAAGUAAAGCUGAGGCUGGAAACACC
This is a long non-coding RNA of Leopardus geoffroyi (Geoffroy's cat), 422 nucleotides long. RefSeq lists it as uncharacterized. The record is from RefSeq and is a predicted model, not a curated record. Lineage: Eukaryota; Metazoa; Chordata; Mammalia; Carnivora; Felidae. The transcript is spliced from 3 exons.